RNAcentral lists this ribosomal RNA (404 nucleotides) under uncultured bacterium. RNAcentral's name for it is "bacterial SSU rRNA". It matches the Rfam family "Bacterial small subunit ribosomal RNA", at positions 355 to 776 of the family's 1533-position model. The record is from RNAcentral.
UGGGGAAUAUUGCACAAUGGGGGGAACCCUGAUGCAGCAACGCCGCGUGGGUGAAGAAGUACUUCGGUAUGUAAAGCCCUGUCAGCAGGGAAGAAAAUGACGGUACCUGACCAAGAAGCCCCGGCUAACUACGUGCCAGCAGCCGCGGUAAUACGUAGGGGGCAAGCGUUAUCCGGAUUUACUGGGUGUAAAGGGAGCGUAGACGGUAAUGUAAGUCUGAUGUGAAAGCCCGGGGCUCAACCCCGGGACUGCAUUGGAAACUAUGUAACUAGAGUACCGGAGAGGUAAGCGGAAUUCCUAGUGUAGCGGUGAAAUGCGUAGAUAUUAGGAGGAACACCAGUGGCGAAGGCGACUUUCUGGACCGUAACUGACGUUGAGGCACGAAAGUGUGGGGAGCAAACAGG